This 2663-nucleotide unclassified non-coding RNA is filed under the name Penaeus japonicus. RNAcentral describes it as "transmembrane 9 superfamily member 2-like, transcript variant X1". The record is from RNAcentral. Lineage: Eukaryota; Metazoa; Arthropoda; Malacostraca; Decapoda; Penaeidae.
UCCCAUGAUGCCACAGUAUACGUGUCAGCGAUAACACGGGAGGGACUCGCUCCUCGGAAUUUCGUUUAUUUUCCUCCGGUUUUCUCCAUUUCCGUUUGACAGUCGGAGUGUUCCCUCCGCCAAACCACAACAUUUAUCUCGCUUUCCCUCUCGCACGGCGUUUUGAAGGUGGAAACACGCCGAACGAUGUGGAAACUGGUGUUAUUAACGGCCGUGGUUGGGGGACAGGCAUUCUAUCUGCCCGGUUUGGCACCUGUCAAUUACUGCACCAAAGGCAACGACGAAGCUAAAUGCGAGUCUCACAUUCCUUUGUUCGUGAAUCGGCUAAAUUCCGAAGAGUCCGUCAUCCCCUACGAGUAUGACCACUUCGACUUCUGCACGGUCGACAAUACCAAAGACACCAUCGUUGAGAACCUGGGUCAGGUCGUAUUCGGAGAGAGGAUCGAGCCCUCCCCAUAUGAGAUCGAGUUCAUGAAGAAUGAGACCUGCAAGACUGUCUGCACAAAAUCCUACGACCCUAAGAAGUCCGAAGAUUCCGGGCAUUUGAAGGAGUUGAAGCGAGCCAUGAACUUGAACUAUUAUCACCAUUGGAUCGUAGACAACAUGCCAGUCACAUGGUGUUAUAUCGUGGAGGGAGGAAAUGUUUUCUGCGCGACUGGAUUCCCCGUUGGCUGUUAUGUUGAUGCUGGGAAGAGACCCAAGGAUGCCUGUGUUAUGGAUAAGAGGUACAAGGACCCCAGCACGUAUUACAUCUUCAACCAUGUGGACCUCAACAUCACUUAUCACAGUGGAGAGAAGGAGGAAUGGGGUAGCGCUUUCCAGGGCCACGGAGGCAGGAUCUUGUCUGUUCGUGUGACACCGAGGAGCAUCAAGCACAGUGACGUCACAGGCUGCAACACUGAUGAUGUGAUGGGCAUUCCAGAGAACUCCAAGGAACCGGUCACAAUCAAGUACACAUACAGCGUCAUUUUCUCGAAAUCCGUUGGUGACAACCGCUGGUCCUCCCGCUGGGACUACAUCCUGGACUCUAUGCCACACACCAACAUCCAGUGGUUCAGCAUCCUCAACUCCCUGGUGAUCGUGCUCUUCCUGUCGGGAAUGGUGGCCAUGAUCAUGCUCAGGACGCUGCACAAGGACAUUGCGCGCUACAACCAGAUUGAUGCCGGAGAGGAUGCACAGGAAGAGUAUGGCUGGAAGCUGGUCCAUGGAGAUGUGUUCCGACCUCCACGCAAUGGCAUGCUGCUCUCAGUGCUGGUCGGCUCGGGUGUGCAGGUGUUCAGCAUGUCCCUCAUCACUCUGGCCUUCGCCUGCCUGGGUUUCCUCUCUCCGGCCAACCGAGGUGCCCUCAUGACCUGCGCAAUGGUGCUGUACGUCUGCCUAGGGUUCCCUGCUGGAUACACGGCCGCGCGACUCUACAAGAGCUUUGGGGGAGAGAAGUGGAAGUCGAACGUGCUCUUGACCUCUAUGCUGUGCCCUGGGAUCGUGUUUGCCCUGUUCUUCCUGAUGAACCUGAUCUUCUGGUACAAGGGAUCGAGCGCAGCCAUUCCCUUCACAACUCUCUUGGCACUGUUGGCACUCUGGUUCCUGGUGUCAGUGCCUCUCACCUUCGUCGGCUCUUUCUUCGGAUACAGGAAGAGGACCUUAGAGAACCCCGUCCGCACCAACCAGAUCCCACGGCAGAUCCCCGAGCAGAGCGUAUACACGCAGCCUCUGCCGGGCAUCAUCAUGGGCGGCGUCCUGCCCUUCGGCUGCAUCUUCAUCCAACUCUUCUUCAUCCUGAACUCCAUCUGGUCCGCCCAGACCUACUACAUGUUCGGCUUCCUGUUCCUGGUGUUCCUCAUCCUGGUGAUCACCUGCUCGGAGACCACCGUCCUCCUCUGCUACUUCCACCUCUGUGCUGAGGACUAUCACUGGUGGUGGCGUAGUUUCCUCACCUCAGGAUUCACCGCGUUCUACCUCUUCAUCUACUGCGUCCAUUACUUUGUGACGAAGCUCAACAUCGAGGGCGUGGUGUCCUCCAUCCUCUACUUCGGCUACACCUUCAUCAUGGUGUUCCUCUUCUUCAUCUUGACAGGAACCAUUGGCUUCCUCGCUUGCUUUUGGUUUGUGCGAAAGAUCUACAGCGUCGUCAAGGUGGACUAAAGCUUCAAGCAUCUGUACUUAUUCCUGUACGUGUCUAAUGCCGUUAUCAAAAAGUGUCUCUGCCUACCAAAGAAGCGUAGAAAAGAGCUAAAAAUCUCCCAGCAGAGAGGAAAGACUUCCCCCGGGGCAGUGAUGCAGAAGAUCCUUCAUUUGGGUGUGUGAUUCUGAUAUCCCAAGGGCAUUAUAGAGAUGUACAUAACGCAGUUCCCUCGAGCAAGAAAAGAAGGAAUAGACUCAAUCAUUGUAUAAUAACGAUUUAUGUUGCGGAUAUUUUUUUUUUUUUCUUGUAUAGGGUGAUUUAUGAUUUACAGGGCAGUCCUCCACCAAACAUUUUUACCCCCCUUUUUUUUCUAACGAAAAAGAAGAGAGGAGAGAGAAUUGGGCCGAGAGAUUAGUGUCAAUCGGGUUUUGCUUUUUUUCCUUUUUUUUCCCUCUUACUUUUUUUUUCUCUUUCUUUCUUUUUCUUUUUCUUGAUUUUCUCUCUCUCUCACUUUUUCUUUCUUUUUCUCUUUCUCUUUCUC